GGUAACUGUGGGGCAGCGGCCGGAGGAAUGCGAAGGGGGGGAGCGUGGUACGGGAGCACAUGGGGGAAAGCGGACGUAGGCGGAGCUUGAAGUCAGGGGUGAAAUCCCGGGGCUCAACCUCGGAACGGCCUUUGAUACUGUUGGUCUAGAGUCCGGAAGAGGUGGGUGGAAUUCCUAGUGUAGAGGUGAAAUUCGUAGAUAUUAGGAAGAACACCGGUGGCGAAGGCGGCCCACUGGUCCGGUACUGACGCUGAGGUGCGAAAGCGUGGGGAGCAAACAGGAUUAGAUACCCCUGUAGUC
Molecule: ribosomal RNA, 300 nt
Filed under: uncultured Bacillus sp.
Lineage: Bacteria; Bacillati; Bacillota; Bacilli; Caryophanales; Bacillaceae
Description: bacterial SSU rRNA
Rfam family: Bacterial small subunit ribosomal RNA
Source: RNAcentral